Molecule: ribosomal RNA, 1503 nt
Filed under: Helicobacter pylori
Lineage: Bacteria; Pseudomonadati; Campylobacterota; Epsilonproteobacteria; Campylobacterales; Helicobacteraceae
Description: bacterial SSU rRNA
Rfam family: Bacterial small subunit ribosomal RNA
Source: RNAcentral
UUUAUGGAGAGUUUGAUCCUGGCUCAGAGUGAACGCUGGCGGCGUGCCUAAUACAUGCAAGUCGAACGAUGAAGCUUCUAGCUUGCUAGAAGUGGAUUAGUGGCGCACGGGUGAGUAACGCAUAGGUCAUGUGCCUCUUAGUUUGGGAUAGCCAUUGGAAACGAUGAUUAAUACCAGAUACUCCCUACGGGGGAAAGAUUUAUCGCUAAGAGAUCAGCCUAUGUCCUAUCAGCUUGUUGGUAAGGUAAUGGCUUACCAAGGCUAUGACGGGUAUCCGGCCUGAGAGGGUGAACGGACACACUGGAACUGAGACACGGUCCAGACUCCUACGGGAGGCAGCAGUAGGGAAUAUUGCUCAAUGGGGGAAACCCUGAAGCAGCAACGCCGCGUGGAGGAUGAAGGUUUUAGGAUUGUAAACUCCUUUUGUUAGAGAAGAUAAUGACGGUAUCUAACGAAUAAGCACCGGCUAACUCCGUGCCAGCAGCCGCGGUAAUACGGAGGGUGCAAGCGUUACUCGGAAUCACUGGGCGUAAAGAGCGCGUAGGCGGGAUAGUCAGUCAGGUGUGAAAUCCUAUGGCUUAACCAUAGAACUGCAUUUGAAACUACUAUUCUAGAGUGUGGGAGAGGUAGGUGGAAUUCUUGGUGUAGGGGUAAAAUCCGUAGAGAUCAAGAGGAAUACUCAUUGCGAAGGCGACCUGCUGGAACAUUACUGACGCUGAUUGCGCGAAAGCGUGGGGAGCAAACAGGAUUAGAUACCCUGGUAGUCCACGCCCUAAACGAUGGAUGCUAGUUGUUGGAGGGCUUAGUCUCUCCAGUAAUGCAGCUAACGCAUUAAGCAUCCCGCCUGGGGAGUACGGUCGCAAGAUUAAAACUCAAAGGAAUAGACGGGGACCCGCACAAGCGGUGGAGCAUGUGGUUUAAUUCGAAGAUACACGAAGAACCUUACCUAGGCUUGACAUUGAGAGAAACCGCUAGAAAUAGUGGAGUGUCUAGCUUGCUAGACCUUGAAAACAGGUGCUGCACGGCUGUCGUCAGCUCGUGUCGUGAGAUGUUGGGUUAAGUCCCGCAACGAGCGCAACCCCCUUUCUUAGUUGCUAACAGGCCAUGCUGAGAACUCUAAGGAUACUGCCUCCGUAAGGAGGAGGAAGGUGGGGACGACGUCAAGUCAUCAUGGCCCUUACGCCUAGGGCUACACACGUGCUACAAUGGGGUGCACAAAGAGAAGCAAUACUGCGAAGUGGAGCCAAUCUUCAAAACGCCUCUCAGUUCGGAUUGUAGGCUGCAACUCGCCUGCAUGAAGCUGGAAUCGCUAGUAAUCGCAAAUCAGCCAUGUUGCGGUGAAUACGUUCCCGGGUCUUGUACUCACCGCCCGUCACACCAUGGGAGUUGUGUUUGCCUUAAGUCAGGAUGCUAAAUUGGCUACUGCCCACGGCACACACAGCGACUGGGGUGAAGUCGUAACAAGGUAACCGUAGGUGAACCUGCGGUUGGAUCACCUCCUUU